RNAcentral lists this transfer RNA (89 nucleotides) under Chlorocebus sabaeus (green monkey). It matches the Rfam family "tRNA". Rfam says of the family: Transfer RNA (tRNA) molecules are approximately 80 nucleotides in length. Their secondary structure includes four short double-helical elements and three loops (D, anti-codon, and T loops). Lineage: Eukaryota; Metazoa; Chordata; Mammalia; Primates; Cercopithecidae. The record is from Rfam by way of RNAcentral.
GGCUCUGUGGCGCAAUGGAUAGCGCAUUGGACUUCUAGUGACGAGUUAGAGCAAUUCAAAGGUUGUGGGUUCGAAUCCCACCAGAGUCG